Molecule: long non-coding RNA, 833 nt
Filed under: Fukomys damarensis (Damara mole-rat)
Lineage: Eukaryota; Metazoa; Chordata; Mammalia; Rodentia; Bathyergidae
Description: lncRNA (ENSFDAG00000029357.1)
Source: RNAcentral
UCCCUGUCAGCACGAAUAUCAUUUUCUGCACUACAAAAGCACUUUUUUGAGUCAUCAUUGACUCAUUCUUUUCAUCUUCUGUUUCUAGUCACCAUGAAAUCCUACAGAAUUGUUUUGCAAAAUAACUCUGGAUCCCACCCUCCUUCCUGUAACUUCACAACCAUCCCACCUUGUCCUGGUGCAGCCUGGGCGCUCCUUACUUCCUGGUUCUCUACACCGUGUCCCUUCUGAGACAGCGUUCAGGCUGAAAAGUAAAACUGAGGGCAAUUCGAAUCUGAACUCAUUCUCUCGAGAACUCCACGGUGAAGAGAAUUUAAAAAGAAGUCGGGGGGGGGGAAGUCCGGAGCCCAUUGCCCGAGUUAAAGUCAGCUCUGACAAUUAAUUCCUAAGAGUUCUUUAACUAUUUCAUCUUUGAGGUAGACUUCACCAUGCUCCCUACGUCACAGGGUCAUUGUGAGAAGGAAGACUCAGAGCGUGUAGGUGAACUCCACCAGUGUCUCCCCAUCUCCGGCCCUGUCAGGUUUUUCAGACUGUCUGUGAAGGAGAAGAUGAUGAAAGCAGUCUACCAGGGACAGGAGAUGAAGAACAUGUCCCACAGAAUGUUUUGAAAACAAUAAUCAAUCUGAUGAAAAGCCACAAGAUGUUGUGAGGAGGAUGACUCCAUCUCACCCCCUCAUUGUGGAAACUCCUGGCAUUAAGAGUAUGGCUCCCUGUGCAUAUUCCUUUGUUCCACAGGAAUUGCAGGCCUGCUUGAAGCCAAAUCCCACGCUCCUUUGGGAAAGCCAGCCCUCUGUUAUUUAGUCCCAUCGAUGAUGAUGAAAUAACAAGAGAAC